UUACACAUACAUAUUCUUCCAUUUUUUUCAUUUAGAUACAGUAAAUACACAUACAGGCAAUUAUAUGCACACUGACUAUAUCAUACUAUAUGGGGGGAUAGAUACACAGACCCACCAUGGACGGCGGGGGAAUACACAGUAGAGUAGUGAAAAGAGAGAGAAAAAAAGCACAAAAAAUAGUAGCGAAAGAAAGAGAAAACAAAGGGAUCGAGAGAGGGAGAGAAAAAGAGAAAAGAGUGAAGGGGAGAACGGGGAGAGAAACAACAAAACUCAUACGAUUUGAUUUUUCCAACAAAAUUUUGUCAAAAAAUGCCAUCUGCACCAGCUAAAAACCUCCAUUAAUUAACAGUGACCAAACACCCACCCCAAACUCCCUUAGAAAUAGCGAUAAAAAAUUACCCAAAUCGAUCAAAAUCCACAUACUCAGGCGAAGCCCCACUCAAUUUUCGAUAAAUAGUCAGCAACCUCUCGUCAAAAAUCCCAUCAACUCCACCAAUCAUCAUCUACCCAUCAUAAAACAACGAAAAAUUCAAUCUGACUGACCUCUUAUUCUAAUUUUCGAAUAAAUCCACUGCAAAACAGCCAAAACAAACCCAUUGCAUAUGAAAUCAGUGCAAACUUUCUUUAUUUUUAGAUUUUUUGUCUGAAUUUGUGACGUAACAGAAACAGGUGUUAACAGAGGUCGAGUUUGGUCAUUGUUGACGUUUGAUUCGAGGUAUUUCGAUGGUGCUCAAAUCAAGUAAUUUGAUUUAAUCAAAAUAAAAUCAUCGAUUGAGGAUAUGGAUAAUGGUGAAAGCUCUAGUUAUGAUUAUGUGCAAAUCAAUGGCUAAGAUGUCAAGCUCAACAAUUAGGAAUGCCCCAAAGUAUUAUGUAUUCGAAGGAUGUUCGUGAUCAAGGCCCCAGGCGUCGGGUAAAGCAUGAUUUAGAGUAAGUUAGAAUAAUUUAGGUUUUCAUUCCAGUACCUUUUUUAUUUUUGGACUGUAUUAAUUAGACUGGACAUCAUUUUUCAAAACUUUAUUUGUUUGUUUACGU
This is a long non-coding RNA of Capsicum annuum, 1032 nucleotides long. RefSeq lists it as uncharacterized. NCBI's taxonomy places the organism in Eukaryota, Viridiplantae, Streptophyta, Magnoliopsida, Solanales, Solanaceae. The record is from RefSeq and is a predicted model, not a curated record. The transcript has 3 exons.